GACGAACGCUGGCGGCGUGCUUAACACAUGCAAGUCGAACGGAAAGGCCCUGCUUUUGUGGGGUGCUCGAGUGGCGAACGGGUGAGUAACACGGGAGUAACCUGCCCUUGACUUUGGGAUAACUUCAGGAAACUGGUGCUAAUACCGGAUAGGAGCUCCUGCUGCAUGGUGGGGGUUGGAAAGUUUCGGCGGUUGGGGAUGGACUCGCGGCUUAUCAGCUUGUUGGUGGGGUAGUGGCUUACCAAGGCUUUGACGGGUAGCCGGCCUGAGAGGGUGACCGGCGACAUUGGGACUGAGGUAGGGACCAGACUCGUACGGGAGGCAGCAGUGGGGAACAUUGCACAGUGGGGGGAAGCCUGAUGCAGCAACGCCGCGUGCGGGAUGCAGGCCUUCGGGUUGUAAACCGCUGUCGCCUGUGACGAAGCGUGAGUGACGGUAAUGGGUAAAGAAGCACCGGCUAACUACGUG
This 468-nucleotide ribosomal RNA is filed under the name uncultured bacterium. RNAcentral describes it as "partial 16S ribosomal RNA". It matches the Rfam family "Bacterial small subunit ribosomal RNA", at positions 28 to 507 of the family's 1533-position model. The record is from RNAcentral.